Molecule: long non-coding RNA, 1459 nt
Filed under: Drosophila guanche
Lineage: Eukaryota; Metazoa; Arthropoda; Insecta; Diptera; Drosophilidae
Source: RNAcentral
GUCCGAUUCCGUAAGUAAAGUUCAAAUAUUAAAGGUAACAUGUACAAUGAAUAUUUUUGUUUGCUAUAUUUAGAUUUUAUGAUGACUAAAAGAACUAGAAAAAAAAUCUUUCCGCCAAGGAAUGAAUUAAUAUUGACGCCCUCCACAAUCAGUUCCGGUUGCAAGAAUAAACUUUUGAUAAACUUUUGAGCUUUCGUAUCCUUUUUUAAAAAUUUUUCUCACAGGCUUCAUGGAACUGAAGUUAAUUAACCGUAGUGAAUUUUUCAGCUAGUUGCAGUUUUAAAUGAGCCAGAUUUAAUCUAAAAAAGAUAAAUUUAUGUGUCAAAUUUUUUGGCUGGGUCAAGUUUGACUUCGAAUUAUUAACAAAUGGGAUGACACAAGGAUGCCAAUUGUUACUCAAAAUAUAGUUUAAUAAACCCCUUUUCAUAUUUCCAUUAAAUAAGACCACUCGUAAAGAUGCAGUUCAAAAACAAUGCUGGUGAAAGGCACACUCUGAAAUGCCAUACAGCAGGGACCACCAUUUUCUCAUCAUAGGCUACAUUUAUUUUCGCAAGGCCAUCGAAUCAAAAAUAUGUCUUAGAUGGACUCUCUAGUCAAAUCAGAUUCUCUAGAAAUGAAUCUGGCUAUGGGUUUCUCCAUAAGUCUUCCGGAAAAUAAAUUUAACAUAUCUUGAGAAAAAUCGUAUGGGUCAUGGUAGGGUGCCUGUGUAGGAUUUUAACUGGAGUUUUACGAACGGUAUUUUUUAAAGGAAAUAUGAUCAAGGAAGUACUAAACUUUAUUUUGAGUAACAAUUGGCAUUAUUGCGUCAUUCCAUUUGGUAAUAAUUCGAAGUCAAACUUGACCCAGCCAAAAAAAUGACACACAAAUUUAUCUUUUUUUUUUAUCAAAUCUGGCUCAUUCAAAAUUGCAACUAGCUGAAGAAAUUCUUGCAACCGGUACUCCUUGUGGAGGGGGUCAAUAUUAAUUCAUGGGGCUCCAAUACCAUGGGCGAAAAUUGUUUCUAGUUCUUUUAGUCAUCAUAAAGACUAAAUAUAGCAAACAAAAAUUUGCAUUGUACAUGUUACCUUUAAUAUUUGAAUUUUACUUAAAGAAUUGGACGGCUGUACAAUUAAUUUAUGUGCGAAAUAAAAAAAAAAUAAGGAUACCAUAGAAGAAAAUUAACAACUUUCUUCAUAAACAGAUCAUAUCUUCGAUACGAAAUUAAAUUUUUCUGUUUACGUUGACCGUACGCCAAGGUGCUCAAACUAGGUUGAUGAUGGUGUACGAAUAAUAUGUGUGCUUACUGUAUGUACAUAUAUACCCAUAUCACCGCGAACUGUUUAAAAAAAUAACGAAUAACUGGACUCAAAUCUUAAUAAAGUACAUAAUGUAUGUAGGUACAUACAUACAUAUAUAUGUAUGAUUGUUCAACUUACCUAUGUAUUUUAUGCAUGUGUACUAGGUACAUGUGGAACAUAAC